This 300-nucleotide long non-coding RNA is filed under the name Androctonus crassicauda. Lineage: Eukaryota; Metazoa; Arthropoda; Arachnida; Scorpiones; Buthidae. The record is from RNAcentral.
AACAAUGGGAUGGAGUAUAUCCCUGCAUUCCUGUCCUCCGCGAUUGGGUCCUUAUGGUUGCGGAGUGGCUCGAAAACUGUGGGGCCUCUCUUCUUAACUAUUGCAGACGGUUGGUUCUUCGGGGCUUUGGUGGGGGUGCGAACUGCAUUCUUGUCGUGUGCGACUUUGGGGUGGUUGGACGUAUCGGACCGCUGGGGCGCGGGUUCAUGUGGACCAGUGCUGUUUGUGGACUGCAGUGCCUUUUUCCAUAGGCCCUCUGUAGCUUUGCUGGAAUGACCGUGCUUGCAUCCUAUCAUGUGU